UGGAGCAUGUGGUUCAAUUCGAUACAAAGCGAUGAACCUUACCUGGGUUUGAAAUGUACCUGCAAAUCCCGAGAAAUCGGGACAUCCUUCGAGGGUGGUACACAGCUGUUGCAUGGCUGUCGUCAGCUCGUGACGUGAGUUGUUCUCUUAAGUGAGGUAACGAGCGCAACCCCCGUUCUGUGUUAUUGUGUCACAGAAGACUGCCUAGCAUUAUUUUGUUAGGAGGAAGGAGGGGACGACGUCAAGUCAUCAUGAUGCUUAUAUCCAGGGCUACACACAUCCUACAAUGGGCUAUAACAGAGGGUUGCAAGACCGCAAGGUGGAGCUAAUCCCUAAACUAGCCCUCAGUUGGGAUUGCAGGCUGAAACUCGCCUGCAUGAACCCGGAAUUGGUAGUAAUCGCACAUCAGCAGCGUGCGGUGAAUACGUUCUCGCCUCUU
This 439-nucleotide ribosomal RNA is filed under the name uncultured Microgenomates group bacterium. RNAcentral describes it as "bacterial SSU rRNA". It matches the Rfam family "Bacterial small subunit ribosomal RNA", at positions 933 to 1382 of the family's 1533-position model. The record is from RNAcentral.